This 316-nucleotide long non-coding RNA is filed under the name Heterocephalus glaber (naked mole-rat). Its description in RNAcentral is "lncRNA (ENSHGLG00000031270.2)". Lineage: Eukaryota; Metazoa; Chordata; Mammalia; Rodentia; Bathyergidae. The record is from RNAcentral.
UUCUGCCAUAGGUUCACCACCACUGGCCUCAGGGAGCCAGCGUCCCUGCCAGCAAGCAUCUGAUAGCAGCCCACAAGGUGCAUGGGGGCCAUUUCUACUAAUGGUAGAUCCACCUGUUAUCCACAGGGAUCGAACUCGGGACCUUGCGCUUGCGAGGCAGGCACCGGAACCACUGAGCUAAAUCCCCAGCCCUACUAGUUGUUUUCUUGAAAAGAAGUUUUUACAAGAAAAUCAUGAUAAAUUCCGUCUUUGUGGAAAUGAGAACCAUAGAACAAACCAAAUCUUGAAGAUAUAACACAAGGGCUGCAUUACUGAG